UGCGGAAGGCACAUUUCAUGCCCAAUCUUCAUGUUACUUUGUCAAAAUGUUUGUCUUAAUGAUAUCUUGGUUGAGUUCAAAAGUGGUUCUGAUCCGUUGAAAAACAUGGACGCCAGUGGGCGGGGCAGUUUUCCUUAUUUGGUUAUAGAGAAAUCUUGUAAACACUCUAGAAGUCACAAUUUUUGCCCAAAGUUGGUCAAAACAUUGGUUCAAUUGAUGUCUCAGACGAGUUCGAAAAUGGUCAAGAUUGGUGAAAAAACAUGGCCGCCUGUGGGCGGGGCAUUUUUCUCUAUAUGUAUAGAGUGGCAGUUUUCCCUAUUUGGCUAUAGAGAAACCUUGUAAACACUAUAGAAGUCAAAAUUUUUGCCCAAUCAUCAUGAAAGUUGGUCAAAACAUUGGUUUUAUUGAUAUCUCGGACAAGUUUGAAAAUGGUCGGGAUUGGUGAAAAAACAUGGCUGCCAGUGGGCGGGGCAUUUUUCUCUUUAUGUAUAUAGUGAAAACAUGUGAACACAGUAGAAGUCACAUUUUUGGCCCAAUUUUUAUGAAAUUUGCUCAGAACAUUUGUUUCCUUGAUACAAUGUACGAGAGUUGAGUUCAAAAAUGGUUCCAGUCAGUUGAAUAACAUGGCUGCUGGGAGGGGGGGCAGUUUUCUCAUUAUGCCCCCCCCCCUUUCGAAGAAGAGUAGGUAUAUUGUUUUGCUCAUGUCGGUCUGUCCGUCCACCAGAUGGUUUCAGGAUGAUAACUCAAGACCGCUUAUGCCAAGGAUCAUGAAACUUCAUAGGUAAAUUGAUCAUGACUCGCAGAUGACUCCUAUUGAUUUUUAGGUCAUUAGGUCAAGGUCACGAUGACCCGAAAUACUAAAAUGGUUUCCGGAUGAUAGCUCAAGAACACUUAUGCCUAGGAUCAUGAAACUUCAUAGAUACAUUGAUCAUGACUCGCAGAUGACCCCUAUUGAUUUUCAGGUUACUAGGUCAAAGGUCAAGGUGACCCAAAGCAUUAAAAUGGUUUCCGGAUGAUAACUCAAGAAGGCUUAUGCCGAGAUCAUGAAACUUCAUAGCUACAUUGAUCAUGACUCGCAGAUAACCCCUAUUGAUUUUCAGGUCACUAGGUCAAAGGCCAAGGUCACGAUGACCCGAAAUAGUAAUAUAGUUUCCGGAUAACUCAAGAACGUUUAGGCCUAGGAUCAUGAAACUUCAUAGGUACAUUGAUCAUAACUCGUAGAUGACCCUUAUUGAUUUUCAGGUCACAAGGUAAAGGUCACGAUGACCCAAAAUAGUAAAAUGGUUUCCGGAUGAUAACUCAAAAACACUUAUGCCUAGGAUCAUGAAACUUCAUAGGUACAUUGAUCAUGACUCGAAGAUGACCCCUAUUGAUUUUCCGGUCACUAGGUCAAUGGUCAAGGUCACCUGAAAUAGUAAAAUGGUUUUUGUAUAAUAACUCAAGAACGCUUAUGCCUUGGAUAAUGAAAGUUCAUAGGUACAAUUAUCAUGACUCGCAGAUGACCCAUAUUGAUUUUCAGGUCACUAGGUCAAGGUCACCUGAAAUAGUAAAAUGGUUUCUGUAUGAUACCUCAAGAUCGCUUAUGCCUAGGUUCAUGAAACUUCAUAGGUAUAUUGAUCAUGACUCGCAGAUGACCCCUAUUGAUUAUAAGGUCACUAGGUCAAAGGUCAAGGUCACAGUGCCAAAUAACGUAUUCACACAAUGGCUGUCAAGGUCACGGUGACACAACUUAGAAAAAUGUUUUCUAGAUGAUAACUCAAGAUUGCUUACGCCUAGGAUCAUGAAACUUCAUAGGUAUAUUGAUCAUGACUCGCAGAUGAAAUAAUUUGACCACAUGUAUGUAUUCUGCAUUUAUGAUUGUAACUUAAUGUAAGUAAGCAGUACGUGUUAUAUUUGUUUUAUACAUGAUAUUUAUUAUUGUGUUCUUUUUUUUAAUUGUUAACUGCAUAUGAUAGAAGUCAAUUCCAAUUUUUACUUUGUUUAUGUUGUAUGAGAAAUACAUUAUUAAACAUGAAACAGCUCA
Molecule: long non-coding RNA, 2023 nt
Organism: Dreissena polymorpha
Lineage: Eukaryota; Metazoa; Mollusca; Bivalvia; Myida; Dreissenidae
Exons: 2
Source: RefSeq, a predicted model, not a curated record